GGCUGUGCUCAGUUUUCUGACAGCACCUCCCGACAGAUGAAAUCCAACCUUUAUGGCUCUGAAAUAUUAAUGUCGAUGCUCAAUGUCUUUUCACUCUCCCUUCCCCCCACCCAUAAUGAGUAAACGUCUCCCCUGGUUAGUGUUCGACUUCCUCGCUUCUUCGCAACUCCAACAGCUCUUUUGACAUAGGAAAAACAGAGAGGGAUGUCAAACAAGAGGAGAAAAGCGGAGAUACGGAUUCUGUUGGAUAAUAUGAAGAGGAAAUUAAACAACACACAAACCAGUCUCGAGAUCGAGAUUGUUUUCAGGGUGAGCUCUAUCCCACGACAGCACUGAUGUCUCUUUUCGUUGUUGUAAAUGCCCAUUAAAUGUAGUUUUAUGGCUUUAAGACUUAAUUAGGCUGCUAUAAACUGAUUCCGAAUGUGUAUUGAAGGUACAAACAGUUCAGGUGCAUCUGAGUCUUGUUAUUCCUACUGUAAGACAGAAGACUGAUGAGGACGGCGGUAAAUGAGGGGAAAAGCGGCAAUCAGAUCCAGGU
Long non-coding RNA from Carassius auratus (goldfish), 538 nucleotides. RefSeq lists it as uncharacterized. The record is from RefSeq and is a predicted model, not a curated record. The transcript has 3 exons. NCBI's taxonomy places the organism in Eukaryota, Metazoa, Chordata, Actinopteri, Cypriniformes, Cyprinidae.